UAGCCGCUCGGGCUUCGCUCGGACCGAGUCCCCGCGCUGAUUUCACAGGUCUGAGGUCUUCCCAACACCUCUCCAACCCGGGUCAAGACCUCUAAGGAAAGCACAUUCUUACCUGGCUGGGAGUUGUACGCCCUGGGACACAGGAGCUAACAUCGGAAUGCAGUCCAUCCUCUUGUCUCAAGAACUGCCUAUCAUUAUGGAAAGAUUUACAACCUCAUGGCUGAAACAAUCUAGUCCCAGAGGCACCAGCUCUUUACAACCCCAGCUCCUAUAGCCUGUAAUCCAGUCCAGGGGUACCCAGAGGUACCCGCCCUCUGCCACCCCCCAGUCCGCAUGAUUUGUAACCUGUAAUGAUUGUCCCGUGCCUACUUUCUCAUGCCUGUAAUUCCUACUUUCCCAUGUAAUCUUUGUCCUUCUACCUAAUAUCAGUGGCUGGCUUAUGGGGAGAGGCAGAGCAGAUUUUUGUGGAUGACCUACUGCUCUCCCAUACUGCCAACAUUAUUGGAAUAAACACUCCUAUAUGAUUCAACCCUGUCUCCUAAUUGGCUUAAUUGGUUCAGGUAGUAACAGGCAGCCUGGACCCAUUGGUUGUCUGGUUUCAGUAGAGGAUCUCUGACCCUUUCCCAUUGCAGUAACAGAAAUUGUUUAAGUCCCGGAGAAUAUUAAAAUCUAAAGUUCCAUGCUC
Molecule: long non-coding RNA, 685 nt
Organism: Myotis lucifugus (little brown bat)
Lineage: Eukaryota; Metazoa; Chordata; Mammalia; Chiroptera; Vespertilionidae
Exons: 2
Source: RefSeq, a predicted model, not a curated record